AAAGUAAAAGUCGUAACAGGUGAACCUGCAGAAGGAUCAUUAACACGUAUCCGAGCAAAUCAGGCGCUAAAGAAUUACUGAUUUUGAUUUUGGGAAGUUCUGUGUGUACGUGGACGCUGCAAUUGAGCGCUAGAUAAAGCACCUGGUACCAAGAGCAAUCCUGUCUCAAAGCGGCAAGGGAUCAAUGUUCAGGGUGGCGCAGUCAACGAUCGCUGUAGGUCCACACGACCGGCGACCGGGUGGAGGCGAAAGCCCGUACGUCAUCCCUAUGUACCCUCCGGGACUUGGCGAAAGCUGACCCCGUCAUAAAUCGAACAACCUGUUACCAAUGGAUAUCUUGGUUCGC
RNAcentral lists this unclassified non-coding RNA (346 nucleotides) under Basidiomycota sp. RNAcentral describes it as "partial internal transcribed spacer 1". Lineage: Eukaryota; Fungi; Basidiomycota. The record is from RNAcentral.